RNAcentral lists this ribosomal RNA (1346 nucleotides) under uncultured bacterium. Its description in RNAcentral is "16S ribosomal RNA". It matches the Rfam family "Bacterial small subunit ribosomal RNA". The record is from RNAcentral.
GGUGAGUGGCGGACGGGUGCGUAACGCGUGGGAACGUGCCUCUGGGUGCGGAAUAACCAUUGGAAACGAUGGCUAAUACCGCAUAACAUCUACGGAUCAAAGAUUUAUCGCCCAGAGAUCGGCCCGCGUUAGAUUAGGUAGUUGGUGGGGUAAUGGCCUACCAAGCCGACGAUCUAUAGCUGGUCUGAGAGGAUGAUCAGCCACACUGGGACUGAGACACGGCCCAGACUCCUACGGGAGGCAGCAGUCAGGAAUAUUGGACAAUGGGCGCAAGCCUGAUCCAGCCAUGCCACGUGAGUGAUGAAGGCCUUCGGGUUGUAAAACUCUUUCAGGUGCAAAGAUAAUGACGGUAGCACCAGAAGAAGCCCCGGCUAAAUUCGUGCCAGCAGCCGCGGUAAUACGAAUGGGGCAAGCGUUGUUCGGAAUCACUGGGCGUAAAGCGUACGCAGGCGGCCAUCCAAGUCAGAAGUGAAAUCCCACGGCUCAACCAUGGAAUUGCUUUUGAAACUGGAUGGCUAGAGUCCCGGAGAGGUUGGCGGAAUUCCGAGUGUAGAGGUGAAAUUCGCAGAUAUUCGGAGGAACACCAGUGGCGUAGGCGGCCAACUGGACGGGAACUGACGCUCAGGUACGAAAGCGUGGGGAUCAAACAGGAUUAGAUACCCUGGUAGUCCACGCUGUAAACGAUGUGUGCUAGUUAUCGGGGGCUCACGCCUUCGGUGACACAGCUAACGCGUUAAGCACACCGCCUGGGGAGUACGGUCGCAAGAUUAAAACUCAAAGGAAUUGACGGGGACCCGCACAAGCGGUGGAGCAUGUCGUUUAAUUCGAAGCAACGCGAAGAACCUUACCCACACUUGACAUCCCGGUCGCGGGAUCCAGAGAUGGAUCCCUUCAGUUCGGCUGGACCGGUGACAGGUGCUGCAUGGCUGUCGUCAGCUCGUGUCGUGAGAUGUUGGGUUAAGUCCCGCAACGAGCGCAACCCUUAUCGUCUGUUACCAGCGAGUAAUGUCGGGGACUCAGGCGAGACUGCCGGUGAUAAGCCGGAGGAAGGCGGGGACGAGGUCAAGUCAUCAUGGCCCUUACGUGUGGGGCUACAGACGUGCUACAAUGGCUACUACAGUGGGCAGCAAAGUCGCGAGGCUAAGCUAAUCUCCAAAAGUAGUCUCAGUUCGGAUUGUUCUCUGCAACUCGAGAGCAUGAAGUUGGAAUCGCUAGUAAUCGUGAAUCAGCAUGUCACGGUGAAUACGUUCCCGGGCCUUGUACACACCGCCCGUCACGUCAUGGAAGCUGGUUACGCCUGAAGUCGGGAAGCUAACCGCAAGGAAGCUACCGCCGAGGGCAGGACU